Molecule: ribosomal RNA, 416 nt
Filed under: uncultured Anaerolineaceae bacterium
Lineage: Bacteria; Bacillati; Chloroflexota; Anaerolineae; Anaerolineales; Anaerolineaceae
Description: bacterial SSU rRNA
Rfam family: Bacterial small subunit ribosomal RNA
Source: RNAcentral
CUACACGAAGAACCUUACCUGGUUUGUACAUAUAGGUUGUUAGGGAACGUGAAAAGGGAACCGGACCCUUCCGGGAGGCCUAUACAGGUGUUGCAUGGCUGUCGUCAGCUCGUGUCGUGAGAUGUUCGGUUAAGUCCGCUAACGAGCGCAACCCUCGUCGUAUGUUAUAUGUGUCAUACGAGACUGCCGGUAAAAGCCGGAGGAAGGUGAGGAUGAUGUCAAGUCAGCAUGACCUUUAUAUCCAGGGCUACACACACGCUACAAUGGUCUGUACAAUGGGUAGCCAAGCCGCGAGGCGGAGCCAAUCCUGAAAGCAGGCCUCAGUUCAGAUUGCAGUCUGCAACUCGACUGCAUGAAGCCGGAGUUGCUAGUAACCGCAGGUCAGCAAUACUGCGGUGAAUACGUUCCCGGGUCUU